UUGUAUCACAAAAAUGAUGAUUGGAGAAAAGAUCCAACAGUGGACAAAAAUGAUGAAAGACCUCAUAAGCGAUUGAAACUUGAAGGUUGAAAUGUUGUUACAGAAAAGGUAAUGUAAGUACAAAAUCCCUGAGCUUAUAAUAUUAGAUCAGAACAUAUUGAUAAGAUCCCCUUUAUGUCCCCAUGUCCCUUUCUCAUAUGGUAAAGGGAUGGCUGAUGGUUGUGCAAAUUUACUAAAGCAGGUGCUGCUUCCAGAGGAAAUUUACUCCAUUUCUAAGGCCUCUUGUUUGCCUAAUCUUCACGAUAUGCCUAAACUUGGAAGUUUUUCCUAUGGUGUUCUUUAUAGAUGACGUGGCUUACUGCAUGGUAGUUUAAUAGUUUCAAGGUGUUAUAUGGUUACAGAUUUGGUUCUCUAGGCUAUGAAAGGGUAUUGGUUGCUCUUCGAUACUGCUCGGUUGUUGAGUCCUCGGUUAACAGCAGGAAACAAACUGAUGCCGUACAUUUCAUUCAUGCCUUCCAUCUUACUGAAAGCUUUCCCCCCUGUUCCCCUCUUGAAGACAUACUUAAAGAAUUGAAGGAGAAGCUCACAGGGAAAGGGUGUGAGUUCGGGUGGAGAUACUAGUGCACAGAUUGAUGUAAAUGCACAGGAACUUGCUGCUUUGAAAGCUGUAGUUAGUUGUGUCCAAGAGUACAGGCUUGAACCUGACUAUCCUCUCGAUCCACUUCAGAAAAGGAUUGAACAACUGGAGAGGUCGGAAUCUGAUAAGAAAAGGGGUGGAGAUUUUGGUAGACGUCAACACUCCAAGAAACAAAGAGCAAACUGAGGAUACGGUGGAUUUCUUUCUCACAGUGGUAAGGCAGCUCCCGGUAGGCUUGUUCCGCCUGCUUUCUGAUGUGUCGUGCACUUGUGAGCAAGACACAACAUUUUCUUUGACAGGGCAGCAUAUGGAGGAAUGCCUGAGAGAUAUCCUCUGGCUGGUCCAAACUCUUACGAUUAUCAAGUUCGUAGCCAGCCUGUUUUUGCUCAGCAACCAAAUGAUCAAAGAAUAUGCUUUUAUCCCCACGAUGUAGUUAUCAAAUGCAAGAUAUGUGUGCAACCUUACUGAAUGUGCAGAGAAUUUAUUUGUGAGUGAAUCACAUUUUCCCACCCAAGUUUGGCUGUAAAACACUUCUUCACCUC
Mangifera indica (mango) is the source of this 1179-nucleotide long non-coding RNA. RefSeq lists it as uncharacterized. NCBI's taxonomy places the organism in Eukaryota, Viridiplantae, Streptophyta, Magnoliopsida, Sapindales, Anacardiaceae. The record is from RefSeq and is a predicted model, not a curated record. The transcript has 4 exons.